RNAcentral lists this ribosomal RNA (481 nucleotides) under Penicillium citrinum. Its description in RNAcentral is "eukaryotic LSU rRNA". The stretch from base 109 to 262 matches the Rfam family "5.8S ribosomal RNA". Lineage: Eukaryota; Fungi; Ascomycota; Eurotiomycetes; Eurotiales; Aspergillaceae. RNAcentral also lists the same sequence under 1 other name. The record is from RNAcentral.
ACCCGUGUUGCCCGAACCUAUGUUGCCUCGGCGGGCCCCGCGCCCGCCGACGGCCCCCCUGAACGCUGUCUGAAGUUGCAGUCUGAGACCUAUAACGAAAUUAGUUAAAACUUUCAACAACGGAUCUCUUGGUUCCGGCAUCGAUGAAGAACGCAGCGAAAUGCGAUAACUAAUGUGAAUUGCAGAAUUCAGUGAAUCAUCGAGUCUUUGAACGCACAUUGCGCCCUCUGGUAUUCCGGAGGGCAUGCCUGUCCGAGCGUCAUUGCUGCCCUCAAGCCCGGCUUGUGUGUUGGGCCCCGUCCCCCCCGCCGGGGGGACGGGCCCGAAAGGCAGCGGCGGCACCGCGUCCGGUCCUCGAGCGUAUGGGGCUUCGUCACCCGCUCUAGUAGGCCCGGCCGGCGCCAGCCGACCCCCAACCUUUAAUUAUCUCAGGUUGACCUCGGAUCAGGUAGGGAUACCCGCUGAACUUAAGCAUAUCAAU